UUAAAUGACCGAUCUUAAAAGUACUUUUAAAAUCGCAUUUUAUGACCAUUUUUAAAAAUGCUACUUUUAAAAUCAGUUAUUUAA
RNAcentral lists this microRNA precursor (84 nucleotides) under Cajanus cajan (pigeon pea). Its description in RNAcentral is "miRNA gene-KK1_050073". Lineage: Eukaryota; Viridiplantae; Streptophyta; Magnoliopsida; Fabales; Fabaceae. The record is from RNAcentral.